GGGACACGUGGUAUCCUGUCUGAAUAUGGGGGGACCAUCCUCCAAGGCUAAAUACUCCUGACUGACCGAUAGUGAACCAGUACCGUGAGGGAAAGGCGAAAAGAACCCCGGCGAGGGGAGUGAAAAAGAACCUGAAACCGUGUACGUACAAGCAGUGGGAGCACCUUCGGGUGUGACUGCGUACCUUUUGUAUAAUGGGUCAGCGACUUAUAUUCUGUAGCAAGGUUAACCGUAUAGGGGAGCCGCAGGGAAACCGAGUCUUAACUGGGCGUUAAGUUGCAGGGUAUAGACCCGAAACCCGGUGAUCUAGCCAUGGGCAGGUUGAAGGUUGGGUAACACUAACUGGAGGACCGAACCGACUAAUGUUGAAAAAUUAGCGGAUGACUUGUGGCUGGGGGUGAAAGGCCAAUCAAACCGGGAGAUAGCUGGUUCUCCCCGAAAGCUAUUUAGGUAGCGCCUCGUGAACUCAUCUUCGGGGGUAGAGCACUGUUUCGGCUAGGGGGUCAUCCCGACUUACCAACCCGAUGCAAACUACGAAUACCGAAGAAUGUUAUCACGGGAGACACACGGCGGGUGCUAACGUCCGUCGUGAAGAGGGAAACAACCCAGACCGCCAGCUAAGGUCCCAAAGUCAUGGUUAAGUGGGAAACGAUGUGGGAAGGCACAGACAGCCAGGAUGUUGGCUUAGAAGCAGCCAUCAUUUAAAGAAAGCGUAAUAGCUCACUGGUCGAGUCGGCCUGCGCGGAAGAUGUAACGGGGCUAAACCAUGCACCGAAGCUGCGGCAGCGACACUAUGUGUUGUUGGGUAGGGGAGCGUUCUGUAAGCCUGCGAAGGUGUGCUGUGAGGCAUGCUGGAGGUAUCAGAAGUGCGAAUGCUGACAUAAGUAACGAUAAAGCGGGUGAAAAGCCCGCUCGCCGGAAGACCAAGGGUUCCUGUCCAACGUUAAUCGGGGCAGGGUGAGUCGACCCCUAAGGCGAGGCCGAAAGGCGUAGUCGAUGGGAAACAGGUUAAUAUUCCUGUACUUGGUGUUACUGCGAAGGGGGGACGGAGAAGGCUAUGUUAGCCGGGCGACGGUUG
This 1078-nucleotide ribosomal RNA is filed under the name Klebsiella pneumoniae. RNAcentral describes it as "partial 23S ribosomal RNA". It matches the Rfam family "Bacterial large subunit ribosomal RNA", at positions 419 to 1504 of the family's 2925-position model. The record is from RNAcentral. Lineage: Bacteria; Pseudomonadati; Pseudomonadota; Gammaproteobacteria; Enterobacterales; Enterobacteriaceae.